Molecule: long non-coding RNA, 714 nt
Organism: Passer domesticus (house sparrow)
Lineage: Eukaryota; Metazoa; Chordata; Aves; Passeriformes; Passeridae
Exons: 4
Source: RefSeq, a predicted model, not a curated record
GAGCACAGGCACCUUCCAGGAGCUGUGCAGGGUGACGGGGGCACCCCUGAGUGCCCUUUUCUCCAGGCUGAGCACCCCCAGCUCACCUUGGCGGGGUUGAGGGCGGUGAUGACCCACACGCAGUAGGCGUUGUUGUCGUACUGCACGGGGUAGUUGGGCGACGUGAUGACCCCGCUGGGCCCGCGCAGAUCAACCCCCCAAAACACUGCACAGCCAGGAUUUAUUAGGUCAUUAUUAAGUAUUUAUCAGCUGGUUUCCUUCUGUGGGCUCAGAACUAAGGUGGAAACUCAGCUCUGCAUCUUCAAAACAUCUCAGGUUUUAUUCCAGCCUUUCCUCUAACAGGAGAAGGAGGAGAGGGGAGAAAACACCUGGAAUAGGGAAAGGGAUGAUCCUGCUCAGGUGAUGCUCUUGGAGCCCUGCAGGUCGUAGCCCUCGUUGCAGGAGAACUGGAUGCUGGAGCCCAGCCUGGAGAGGGGACACAGGGGACAUCAGCCUGGUCCUGCCUCGUGCAGCCAGGAUUUGGGGCCAGAGCCAUCCCCUGGCCCUGCAGGCAGCAGGAAGGGAGGAGGGACCAGCUCUGCCUCCCCUCUGCUGGUUUUGCCCCAUUGCUGAUGUCCAAAUCCCAGUUUUAGUGACAUUUCAUCCACAGCCCUGGGAGAGGACAUGCUCAGCGUUCUCAUAAAGUGAAAUAAAAAUCUUUAUCAGCUGCUGAGA